Molecule: long non-coding RNA, 561 nt
Organism: Malania oleifera
Lineage: Eukaryota; Viridiplantae; Streptophyta; Magnoliopsida; Santalales; Ximeniaceae
Exons: 4
Source: RefSeq, a predicted model, not a curated record
GCGAGUUCCAAAGGCGGGAAGUUGCAGCGGCGGAAGCUGCAAAAUGCUCUCCCCUGGAGACCAAAUUUCCGAUCGUUCGAUUGUCCUUCUUCCAUCGAAAGCGAUCCGUUGCGAAACGUUGUCAACUGCGGGUAGACAUGAAAUUUUUUCCAUCAAUAACUGCGAAGAAUCCCUAAAUCAAGCAAAUACUCUCUCUUGCCCCGUCUAAACUUCUUUUCUCUCGAGGUAUAGCGGGUUACGCUUCCAGUCGGAGCUAGAUUUACUUCCUCCUCCUCUGAACGCAUGAAUUUGUUAGGUGCAGGCAUGAAAGUGGAGAUGUUGAAAGCCAAGAAAACAUAGGGGUAUUGGUAGGACAUGUCGGAGAGGAUUCGGAUGGGGUCCAUGUGGAAAAUGAAGCCCCUGAAGGUGUUGGGUGGUCUUGGGCCUUUACAAUCUCAAAAGCUAGCUCAUGAGAGAACCAAAUAUGAUGGGUCACAGCCGCCAUAGAGUAGAUAAAGGUAGCCUGAAGUCAUGAAAAACCUGAUUUUAAUAUGCAAUGCAAGAAGAAACGCAAUGAAAGGG